AAGCAGAAUUCGUUACUGCCUGCGUACGAAUGCUUGAGUAUCUAUGGGAGGAGAAAAGCUCACCUGCUUAUGCCAUCUGGUACUAUGUUUGAUAUGGAGUUGAGAAGCAUGAUUGGAAUGGAAAAUCUUUGACAUCUCAGGAGUCUUGCAGACUAGAAAAAUCAUAUCCCACUGAGGAUAUAGGAGCUGCCCUAUAGGAUUGUAUCAAACAGCUGAAAAGGCAUAAAGGUGAGUUGUCGCAUUAGUGACAGUGGAUUAUAUACGGUUUAUUUAUUCCUCAAACCCCCUCCCAAAGAUUACUGUGACUCUGUUGCAGUGGUGCAGUCUUUCGAAAGGUGUCGGAGGUGGGCCAGAGUGUGAGAAAAGCCCAGAGCAUCCCAGUGCUGGUUGUACAUGUGCCGGAGACCCGAGGUGGCCUAUGGGCAACGUCAGCGGGCUCUCAGGAACUUCAACCCUGAGUAUUUGGGAACUGAGGCAAGUGCUGGGUGCCCUCCAAGAAUAUUCCCUUUCUUUAGGUGUGAAGGUUUCCGAGCUUGCAGAAGCACCAUCUCGGACUAUGGUGCAUGGCUGUGAUGUGACAAAUUUCUGCACAUCCCGUUCUCGUGACCCAAGCCAAGCUGUGCUGAUAAUGGCUCAGGAGAGAUUUGGAGGCUGCAUUAAACUAACAUAGCCCUGGCCAGAUGUACCUUUCCAGGGCUGUCCUGCAUGUUUUCCUCUGGACACCAGCGCAUGCUUCCUAUCCUGCGUUAAACAGUGUUAGAAAACCUGCUGUUCCUGGACAUGCUAAAGCUGUGCCAGGAGGAGCAACACACAGCAUCUGACUGUCUGCUCCAGGCCAAGGCAGCGUCCCGAAAGAAAAGGUACUCUGCGGCAGAUAAAUAUGCAGUGAUUUGUCUAUAGGGUAAUUCCUUUCCUGUCAGGGGUCCUGAGUCCUUCUGGUCUUUGAGUCAUUUUCCUGGCUGUUGUUCUCAUUAUCCCUCUUUUACAAUUGUCAGUGCUACUGGGUCCUGGAGUAUCUACUGUACUGCUUUUCUAACCCUCUUUCUCCAUAUUUUUGGCACGCAACCUUUUCAUUUCUUUACUUGUCCCCUGCUUGUCUUAUGAGCAAGCAGCCAUGCACCAGGCUUUUCAUUAUUUUAGGAUGAUCUGCCAUGCCCUACUCUAUUUGUCACAGCUAACAGAUCAAAUUUUUUCGCUCUUUCCUUGCACAGAUCUUACUUUACUGGCAAUAAAAUUUUGAUUCCUCUCCUCUACCCUCUCCCU
Molecule: long non-coding RNA, 1263 nt
Filed under: Struthio camelus australis
Lineage: Eukaryota; Metazoa; Chordata; Aves; Struthioniformes; Struthionidae
Description: lncRNA (ENSSCUG00000016812.1)
Source: RNAcentral